UCAGGUCCUUGCUUUUCAUUACUUUGAAUAUUUCAUGCCAAUUUCUUCUGGCCUGAAGUGUUUCUACUGAGAAAGUUGACAAUCUAUGGCAACUACCUUAUAUGUAACUUUCUGUCUCUCUCUUGCUGCCUUUAAAGAUUCUUUGUCAUGCCCUGG
Molecule: long non-coding RNA, 156 nt
Organism: Myotis davidii
Lineage: Eukaryota; Metazoa; Chordata; Mammalia; Chiroptera; Vespertilionidae
Exons: 3
Source: RefSeq, a predicted model, not a curated record